RNAcentral lists this ribosomal RNA (497 nucleotides) under uncultured bacterium. RNAcentral's name for it is "partial 16S ribosomal RNA". It matches the Rfam family "Bacterial small subunit ribosomal RNA", at positions 28 to 507 of the family's 1533-position model. The record is from RNAcentral.
GAUGAACGCUGGCGGCGUGCCUAAUACAUGCAAGUCGAGCGAACGGACGAGAAGCUUGCUUCUCUGAUGUUAGCGGCGGACGGGUGAGUAACACGUGGAUAACCUACCUAUAAGACUGGGAUAACUUCGGGAAACCGGAGCUAAUACCGCAUAAUAUUUUGAACCUCAUUGUUCAUGAGGGAAAGACGUUUUUUCUGUCACUUAUAGAUUGAUCCGCGCUUCAUUAGCUAGUUGGGAAGGUAACGGCUUACCAAGGCAACGAUGCAUAGCCGACCUGAGAGGGAGGUUGGGCAGACUGGAACUGAGACAGGGCGGAGACUCCUAGGGGAGGACGCGGUAGAGAAUCCUACGGGAGGGGGGAGAGGGUGACAGAGCAAAAUGGGGGAAGUGAUGAAGGUGCUCGGAUCGGAAAAGUAAGUUAUUAGGGAAGAACAAAUGUGUAAGUAACAGUGCAGAUAUUGACGGUACCUAAUAAGAAAGCCACGGCUAACUACGUG